GCUAACCAUUGCUAAAGCUCACAAUACGACAAGAUGGGAGAAAUGUCUGGGUCCUUGAUUGGCUUCAUAGAACAAAGCUCUCUCCACUGCCCACUAACUUUGAUUGGAUGGUGAUGUAGAGUUCAUCGUGGAGAGGACCAAGACAGAAGAUCAAGAAGAAUUUUUUUUUUAAUCUCUUCCCUUGUCCACCGAAAGACCAUCAAAACUAGAGAGAGAUUAUCAAAUGCCUGGUGACAAGUCCUCGGCUGCACUGGCUUCACAGGAGCUUAUGUGGAGAAGAAAAAGAAUUUGAGCCACAGCAACGAAACUCUAAAGUUGUUUCCAACUCUCUUACCAAAAGAGGCAUCCAGCCCAACAGCUCUCAACCUGGAGUAAAGCUCCCACGUGCCCUGUGGAGCAUCCUCGCUUUGAUUCCAUCCCUUUACUCCCAUUCAGAGAAUUCUACUUGAAUUUAAAUAAAUGACUCUUCUGCUA
Long non-coding RNA from Homo sapiens (human), 474 nucleotides. RefSeq lists it as uncharacterized. The transcript has 2 exons. The record is from RefSeq and is a predicted model, not a curated record. NCBI's taxonomy places the organism in Eukaryota, Metazoa, Chordata, Mammalia, Primates, Hominidae.